Molecule: RNA transcript, 3198 nt
Organism: Panicum virgatum (switchgrass)
Lineage: Eukaryota; Viridiplantae; Streptophyta; Magnoliopsida; Poales; Poaceae
Gene name: probable cation transporter HKT6
Exons: 4
Source: RefSeq, a predicted model, not a curated record
AACUACGAUAUAUAUACAUAUGAAUCCCAGCACAUUGGAUGUUUAAAUUCGAAUCUUUAUUUCUUGAUGACGACAUUACUUCGUGACUAUCCAAUUACAAAGCAUGAUAAGCAUAAAACAAAGCUCAGUAGGUUGUCAAACCUGAAUAUUUUCCUCUAUGUUCAAUUUUCCUGCUGAGGUUUCCUGUGGUGUUUACCAGUUUAUCAUACACACUGUCAAUUAAAAGUGACCAUGAUAACAGUGGUGCUCUAAACUGUUAAAUGUCUGAUCAGAAGUUUACUACUUCUAGAUAGGCUGCUGACUUGCAAUAAAAUGAGCGUAGGUUAUAUUAUUAGAUGGAUCAACUACAUCACCUCCCAACCUUACUAUCUCUUUCUGAAUCUUGACCUAUGUCGAUUGUAAAGCUUAGUACCAACAGGAGAGCAGAGUUUGGUAGUGGUUAAAUGUUCUUCAGUUCCACGUCCACGCUCAAUAAUUUUCUUGCAUCAAGGAGGACGAUAUCUGAAAAAAAAAUCAGGAUUAUCAUCAUUUCUGCCAGUAAUGAAAUUCAGCGAGGAUAAAACGUAGAGUAAAAUUGCUCACGGGGUUGAUAAAAUUUUCUAUGUGACUUGCGGUAAAAAGAAAUUAAUACCACAAUAGAACCACACAAAAAAACUGAUGGAUAUGGGCCACCCAAAAAAAAAUUGAAAAUAUCAAAGUUAAGUACUUGAAGGCUUGAAGGUGUAAAAUAAAAGAAGCAUCCAUUUGCUCUCGUUUGAAUGUUUGAAUGAAACUGAACAAUAUUGAGUAGAUGAGCGCCAAGUUGAAGAAUUCCAACUUCUAAGUGCUUCUGAAAAAUAGAAGCUGGAAAGUAGCAAGAUAAGUCAUUCAUGAUCUUGCAUGAAAGGUACACAUGACGACCCUGAAUGCCAUUCAAUCGGCAGCAUCAUAUCCAGAAAUUGAGUGUGAAUUUAAACCACUUAUUAAAUUAUUGUAUGCAACACGAAUGAUGGGUAAAACGAGUCAUUCAUUGAAAUAGUAUAUUUAACCUAGCCCUCAUAAAAAGUAUAUGCUCCGGCAGAGCAUCUGCAUAAAGUAUUCCAAAAACUUUAUUCCAUCUCUAGCUCAAAGAAUUAAUUCUACUAGUCUUGUCCAUAGAAUAAGAAGUGAAUUCAUUACACUAAUCAUGUAGUCAUGUAGAGAAUAUAAUCUCUCGGCAUGCUGCGUUAUGAACUUAUGAUACACUCUAACAAGCUAUCUGGAAUUUGUGAAGUGGUCACGAUUCUUCAAUCAUCGUGGCCGACAUCGUAUCCCGAGAAGCUUUAGAUAGAUACGUACGCGAACGUUGAAAGUGCGGAAUUUUUCCCAAUAUAAAUGUAUGCUUAUCAGCCAAGAGCCCCCUGAAAGCAUUCGAUUUGGCUCCACACACAACCCAAAUAGAUGGUUAGUAGUUUUUUAGUGGUCCUAUAAAAACUCCAAAUCUAUUGUACAUUUUAAGCCAGCAAGUUGUUUUCUUAUACAAAAUCUGCACCGCAGACCAUGAAACACUCCUGGCAGUUCAUCUGUCCAAAUAAUCCACUAUUUGUCCAAGUCAGUUAUUUCACAGCAAUUUCAUUUGCUGGAUAUGCAGCCCUCAAGGUACUGAAGCCACAAGAAAAGCCGCAUGCUCUUAAAGACUUGGAUUUAUUAUUUACUUCUGUAUCUGCAUCAACUGUCUCAAGCAUGGGUACUAUUGAAAUUGAGGAUUUCUCAAGCACUCAACUCUGGGUGCUGACUAUUUUAAUGCUGAUUGGUAGCGAGGUAUUCACUUCAAUGCUUGGUUUUCACUUCAUAAAAGCCAGAUUUGGUGCAAAAGGAUCGGUCAACAAAAUGGGUCACUCAUUUAUUGUUGAUGUUGAAUCUAUUAAUUCUGAAAAUCCUGGUUCCAACGGCAACCAGGGAACCAAUGUUGUCAGCUUGGAAGACAAAGAUCAUGUUGAGUACAAGACAAUUAAGACUUUAGGUUAUGCAUUGAUGACCUAUUUUCUUGUGGCAAAUUUAGGCAGCUCGCUAGCUAUUUAUAUUUAUCUUAGACUCGUACCAGAUACACAAGAAGUUCUGAAGAGGAAGGGGAUUGGGUAUGUUAUAUUCUCUGCAUUUACAGCAAUAUCCUCAGUUGGGAAUUGUGGCUUCACUCCAGUAAAUGAGAACAUGGUCAUCUUUCAGAAGAACACCAUUCUGUUACUACUGAUUAUUCCACAGAUUUUAUCAGGAAAUACAUUAUUCGCCCCAUGUUUGAGAUUCAUGAUGUGGUCACUUAAGAAGAUCACUGGGAAAGAAGAAUACCAUUUCAUUCUUCAACAUCCGAAGGCGUUUGGAUAUAAACAUCUUAUGAAUAGUAAGGAGUGUGCUUACUUGAUGGCAACUGUUAUCAGCUUCAUCAUCAUACAAACUAUACUUUUUUGCACUUUAGAGUGGAACUCAGAGGCUUUGCAGGAAAUGAACAGCUACCAGAAGAUAGUGGGAGCUCUCUUUCAGUCAGUCAAUGCAAGGCAUGCUGGUGAAUCCAUUGUUGAUCUGUCAAGCCUAUCUUCAUCAAUCCUAGUACUAUACACCAUCAUGAUGUACCUCCCUGGUUACACUUCAUUCUUACCUAAAGACAAUGAGCAGCAUUCUAACGUGGGGAUGAAGGACAAAAAGAGAAGUGUGUGUGAGAAUUGGGUCCUCUCCCAGCUGUCUUAUUUAGCUAUCAUUUUGGUGCUAAUUUGCAUCACUGAGAGAGAAGCAAUGUCCAGAGAUCCACUCAAUUUCAAUGUUUUCAGCAUAACCUUUGAAGUUAUCAGUGCAUAUGGAAAUGUGGGUUUCUCACUUGGUUACAGCUGCCAAAGGUUACUGAAUCACAAUACAGACUGUAAAGAUGCUUCAUAUGGGUUUGUAGGAAGAUGGAGUGAUAAGGGAAAAGUGAUUCUGAUUAUUGUCAUGGUUUUUGGUAGGCUCAAAACAUUGAAUAUGAAGGGAGGGAGUGCUUGGAAGCUUAGAUAGCAUCGGUUGUGUGUUCGCCUAAAUUCCCAGCACUCCAUAGUCCAUAAUAUGGUAUUGAGUAUGUUACAUACAACUAUACUAGCAUAGCACACACAACUGCAUAUGUGCAUAAGAAUUGGCAGACCAUUACAAGCAUUGUUGGGGUGAAUUAUAUUAUCAUAAGCAGCUUAAAUCUAUGUUUAUCACCAAGGUUUUGUA